GAGUGACGCUGGUGUGUCAGCUGGCCCCGGAGGAUGCUGGGAGUGUUGAGUCAUGAGGCUGCCGGUGGGUCCGGGCUGAAAUCAGGAGAAGAGCCGGGCAGUGCGGGGCAGUGCGGGGAGCAGGAGGUGAGACACAUCAGGCAGUGAACGUUCAAGAUACCUAAGAGCAAUGACCCCACCUGCUGCUGUCUAAUAGAGUUUCCCCCUGAUAUUCCACCUAUUCCCCAUCUCUAUCUUGUGCCACAUUAUACCGCAGCCAUGUACGGGAGCGCUAGAACAAUCACCAAUUUAGAGGGCAGCCCUUCCAGAUCCCCUCGUUUGCCAAGAUCACCUCGUUUGGGCCACAAGCGGACAAGCAGCGGAGGAGGCGGGGGAGCGGGUAAGACUUUAUCAAUGGAGAACAUCCAGUCACUUAAUGCAGCCUAUGCAACUUCUGGACCCAUGUACUUGAGCGACCAUGAAGGGGUGGCUUCUACUACCUACCCGAAAGGCACCAUGACUCUUGGAAGGGCUAGCAAUCGAGCUAUGUAUGGCGGGAGGGUGACAGCCAUGGGAAGCAGCCCCAAUAUUGCUUCCGCUGGACUGACACACACAGACGUUCUGUCCUACAUUGACCACAUUGGCUUAACCAGCUCUUCCCACCAUCACCAUCACCACGUUCCCUCCAUGCUGAGACAAGUCCGGGACAGCACCCUGCUGGAUCUACAGGUUCAGCUGAAGGACUUGCAAAGGGAAAAUGAGCUUCUUCGGAAAGAACUGGACAUCAAGGACAGCAAGUUGGGGUCAUCCAUGAAUAGUAUUAAAACUUUCUGGAGCCCGGAGCUGAAGAAGGAAAGAGUUCUGAGGAAGGAGGAGGCAGUUCGGAUGUCUGUUCUGAAGGAGCACACGAGAGUGUCCAAUGAGGAGAACCAGCAUUUGGAUUCCAGGAAAACAAAGCAUCUGCAGCUGACCAUCCAGGCCCUCCAAGAUGAACUCCGAACCCAGAGAGACCUCAACCACCUCCUGCAGCAGGAAAGUGGGAACCGAGGAGCUGAACACUUCACCAUAGAACUCACCGAGGAGAACUUCCGGAGGCUUCAGGCGGAACACGACAGGCAAGCCAAAGAACUGUUUCUUCUCAGGAAAACGCUGGAAGAGAUGGAGCUGAGGAUCGAGACUCAAAAGCAGACACUAAAUGCCCGAGAUGAGUCCAUCAAGAAGCUUCUAGAAAUGCUGCAGAGCAAAGGGUUGCCUUCCAAAGGGAUGGACAUGGAGGAGAACGAGAAAACGCGCAGAAUGGUGGAAGCCGAGUCACAGAUUAACCAUCUAGAAGUACUUUUGGACCAAAAGGACAAAGAGAAUAUUCAUUUAAUAGAGGAGCUGCACAGGCGCAACCAACUCCAUCCCGAGUCGGCCAAAACAAAGGCUCUUCAGACCGUCAUAGAGAUGAAGCGAUCACCAUCUUUGUGUUUUGAUCCAGAUUUUAUUUGGCAGGACACCAAAAUUUCAUCACUAGAGAGGAACAUCAGAGACCUUGAAGAUGAAAUCCAGAUGAUUAAAACAAACGGAGUCUUACAUACAGAAGACAGGGAAGAAGAGAUGAAGCAAAUGGAAAUGUACAAAAGCCAUUCAAAGUUCAUGAAAAGCAAGCUUGACCAGCUGAAGCAAGAGCUGUCCAAGAAAGAGACGGAACUCCUUGCCUUACAAACCAAGCUGGAAACUCUCGGCAAUCAGAAUUCUGACUGCAAACAACACAUAGAGGUGCUUAAGGAGUCCCUGACAGCAAAGGAGCAGAGAGCAGCCAUCCUGCAGACAGAGGUGGACGCAUUGAGGCUUCGACUAGAGGAAAAGGAAUCGUUUCUCAACAAGAAGACCAAACAGCUGCAGGAUUUAACGGAAGAGAAGGGGACGUUGGCCGGAGAAAUCCGAGACAUGAAGGACAUGUUGGAAGUAAAGGAGAGAAAAAUUAACGUCUUGCAGAAAAAAAUUGAAAACCUUCAGGAGCAGUUGAGAGACAAAGACAAACAACUGAUCAACCUGAAAGACCGAGUCAAGUCGUUGCAGACUGAUUCCAGUAAUACAGACACAGCCCUGGUGACGCUGGAAGAAGCUCUCUCCGAAAAGGAGCGAAUCAUUGAGCGUUUGAAAGAACAACGGGAAAGAGACGAUCGAGAGCGACUAGAGGAAAUAGAAAACUACAAGAAGGAAAACAAAGAUCUGAAAGAGAAAAUCAACGCGUUGCAGGCUGAGCUGACAGACAAAGAGACAAGCCUAAUUGACUUGAAGGAACACGCCUCAACGCUCUCCUCCUCUGGAGUGAAACGAGAUUCCAAACUGAAGUCGCUGGAAAUCGCCAUCGAGCAGAAGAGAGAAGAGUGCAGUAAGUUAGAGGCGCAGCUAAAAAAGCAAGCUGAGCAGUUGUUCAAUCAGAUGUACGACCCCACAUCGGUUAGGAGUAAUGAGAAGCAAGGGGCUCAUGAAGCUGAAGAGGAGGUGCGCAUGAACCCCGACUUUUCCGACAGACUCAUACAGUUGGACAAUGAAGUCUCCUACUACAGGGAAGAGUGCAGCAAGGCCCAGGCUGAGGUCGACCGACUGCUGCAGAUUCUGAAGGAGGUGGAGAAUGAGAAGAAUGAUAAAGACAAGCAGAUUGCCGAGCUGGAAAGCUACGGUCUGAUCCCCAGGCUCAUGAAGGAUCAGAACAAGAAGGUGGCCAACCUGAAGCACAAUCAACAGAUGGAGAAGAAAAAGAAUGCACAGCUUCUGGAAGAUGCCCGGAGAUGGGAUGACAAUAUCCCGGACAAUGCUCAGCAAAUGCAGAUAGAGGAACUGAUGAACACUCUAGACAAGACGAGGCAAGAGCUGGACUCUACUAAGGGCCGUCUGGCCUCCUCUCAGCACUCGCUGUCAGAGAAGGAAGCUCACCUGUCUAACCUGCGGGCAGAGCGUAGGAAACAGAUGGAGGAGAUACUGGAUAUGAAGCAAGGAGCCCUGCUGGCCGCAAUCAGUGAGAAAGAUGCCAACAUUGCUUUGCUCGAACUCUCUGCCUCAAAGAAGAAAAAGACUCAAGAUGAAGUUAUGGCUCUGAAACGAGAAAAGGACAGACUCGUACUGCAAUUAAAGCAACAGACCCAGAACAGGAUGAAACUAAUAGCAGACAACUAUGAAGAUGACCACCACCACCACCAUUACCACCACCACCAUCAUCACCGGACUCCAGGGAAAGCUCAGCACCCCAACCACAGACCCUCUCCGGAACAGGACGAGGAGGAGGGGAUAUGGGCAUAACUACUCCUGAGAACCAAAGUUUCCUUUUCAUUUUGUGGGGUGAUCCCAUCCCUGCCGGAGCUACAGCCACGACACGUCUCAUGUAUCUACAUCCACCAACUAUCCAACCUUAGCCUAGAGCACGACUGCCACACUUUCCAUCUCAGAGAAUGAGGAAAAGGAAGGGGACGUGAAGGAGACAUCUCAUCUAACCAAACAUCUAUAUUUUAACACCUGAGCAGGUAGUUAAAGAAGAGCAAGACACCUAAGAAUGAAAGGCAGAUCUCUAUGCUGGUCUUCAAAUCCAGAAACCUCCCUUAAUGACGCCACCAAGCAAGAACCUAACGAAGAGCCCUGCUACCACCGGAGAAACCUCAAGCAGAAUAAAAAGGCAUGUUCUAUGCAAUCCUUGCUAUAAUGAGGAAGGUAUACAAGAUAUGGUCUCCUCCUCAAAGGUCUCCUAGGGGUGUAGCAAAGAUGCCUUUCCACUUGGGCGCAGUAGGCAUCAAUAAAUAUUGAGCCCUGUAUUUGCAUUAAGGUAUGGGAGUAAAUAUUAGAAUAUCCCAAAAAAAAAAUCUACUUGGUAAAUUCUGCCUCUUAUUGUAGCUGCCAUUUUGAAUACAUUUAAUAAUGGUGUUAAUGAUGUCAUCUUUACUCUUUCCAGUCAACAUCCUUUUCCCCAAAUGCUUCAAGGGAAUAUAACCCUUCUCUGUUCUCUUGAAUUUUAUGUGGCCUAAUGACUCCAAUCAAAGGUUGGGCAUGAUAAAUGGACAUUGAAUUUGUUGGGUCCUUAUGCUACAUACACACCUCACCAAGCCAAGAGGUCCCAGUCACAUCGGUUGCAAGACCAGGGAUGUCCAACCUCUGGCUCUACUUCUUGAAUGACAUAUCCCACCAUUGCCUUAUUCGUUUGAGGUGGAAGGUAAAGGUCAACAACAGCAGUAGGACCAUUUGUUGGACAUCGCUUCUGUAGAUUAGGAAACCUCAAUGGCAGCUCUUGCUAAUCAUAUACUACCUGGCUAUAGGCUACUUGGAAAUGUAGGUCUGCCACAGGUGGAAGAUCCUUAAUCCCAGAUUAUUCUUAGAGUAGAACCAUAAACCUAAAAUGCAUACGUCUCUUGUCCAUAGCAAGCUACCCAAAAACAUGGGGUUGUUUCAGAAAGCCAAAAAUAUGUAUGUCGGAGUCUUCCCACCUCCUCCAGUCCCCCUUUCCAUUGGUAUUUAUAUGGUUUCUCCAACAACAGUGGCUUCCUGCUCAGGUGACCAGGAAGUUGGACUUGGUCUUCUUCUAAAACACGGGACAUAAAAAUGAUAAACUCCUUUUAUUCUAUUAAGUUAGUAAACCUUCCAGCUGUACUUUCUCCUUGGCAAACCGAAAAGCCUACACUCAACUGGAUUGGCCUUUUUGACCCAGGAAAUAUCUCAUGGUUCAUCCCAAGACCUGAAUGCAGUCAAUAAAUGAUGAGAUAAAAACCCCCGUUAAAGUACAGUUAUUGUCAAACUCUGGGCCAGGUUGGAAAUCAAAUAAUUUGUAAUGGAAACAUUUAACCUUUUGCUCCCAAGUCGACUGUGGAGUCAAGCACUACCCAUGUAUGCCAGGCAUUAAUGGGUCAAGCAUUAGAAUUGUGGCGUGUUCCUCUGACACAGUAUGGGACAUCUGAAUCAAUGACAUCAUUUCGAGUAGCACCGAUGUUCUAAAGGCCACAGCAUCUGCACGUGGUCGGGUUCCACCCUGAGAACCUUGGUGCUCACCAGGAGAUGAGUUAAUACUGUUAUAAUGCUCUGUACAUGUAUUAUUAGUUUCCUACAAUUGUGACGUCACAGCUGGAUGAAUAUAACAAUGAUGUUGAUGGGACGUUGUGAUCUUAACGUUGUGACAUUCUUACUCAUGGGACUAUAAGGAAUAAGGUCACCACGACUAGAAUUUCUAAGGAUAUUAGAAGCUGGUGGCAUGACUUACCCUUGGGUUUUGUGCUUUUAUAUGGUGGUUCGAUUCUUCGAUGACUUUUAAUAUCCUUAGAAAUGAUAGUUGUGGGUGCACUGUCUAUAUAUAUAUAUAUAUUUCUAUCAUCUUCAGAUUAUAACUGAAUUG
Xenopus laevis (African clawed frog) is the source of this 5338-nucleotide RNA transcript. It is a transcript of the gene named ERC protein 2, with no coding region annotated. The record is from RefSeq and is a predicted model, not a curated record. Lineage: Eukaryota; Metazoa; Chordata; Amphibia; Anura; Pipidae. The transcript has 24 exons.